AUGAACGCUGGCGGCGUGCCUAACACAUGCAAGUCGAACGGAGUCGUUUUGGAAAUCUCUUCGGAGAUGGAAUUCUCGACUUAGUGGCGGACGGGUGAGUAACGCGUGAGCAAUCUGCCUUUAAGAAGGGGAUAACAGUCGGAAACGGCUGCUAAUACCGCAUAAAGCAUUAAAUUCGCAUGUUUUUGAUGCCAAAGGAGCAAUCCGCUUUUAGAUGAGCUCGCGUCUGAUUAGCUAGUUGGCGGGGUAACGGCCCACCAAGGCGACGAUCAGUAGCCGGACUGAGAGGUUGAACGGCCACAUUGGGACUGAGACACGGCCCAGACUCCUACGGGAGGCAGCAGUGGGGAAUAUUGCGCAAUGGGGGAAACCCUGACGCAGCAACGCCGCGUGAUUGAAGAAGGCCUUCGGGUUGUAAAGAUCUUUAAUCAGGGACGAAACAAAUGACGGUACCUGAAGAAUAAGCUCCGGCUAACUACGUG
RNAcentral lists this ribosomal RNA (482 nucleotides) under uncultured bacterium. RNAcentral describes it as "partial 16S ribosomal RNA". It matches the Rfam family "Bacterial small subunit ribosomal RNA", at positions 29 to 507 of the family's 1533-position model. The record is from RNAcentral.